RNAcentral lists this long non-coding RNA (487 nucleotides) under Macaca mulatta (Rhesus monkey). RNAcentral's name for it is "lncRNA (ENSMMUG00000052309.1)". The record is from RNAcentral. Lineage: Eukaryota; Metazoa; Chordata; Mammalia; Primates; Cercopithecidae.
CCAGUCCGCAGUAGUACUCGGUCCAUCUAGUCUUCAUUCAUCUCUCAAAGGGUGGGAACAGAAUACAGAACGAUGACAAGAAUGCAUCUGCAAGAAUCCUGUUUCAGUACCACGGACAGAGGCCUCCCCAGGGAAGAAGUGUUGGGAGAUGUCUGCGUUGUUUAAGCCCAGGAAAGAACCUGGUGUCUUCUGGCUACUGGUGUCAAGACAUGUGGGGAACCCAGGUCAUGACAGGUUAUGACAGCCAUUCAGACACGACCCUGGCUGUGCUCCAAGAAUCACCUUGCUGUACAUGGAAAGAAGUUCCUGCUUCUUCGGUGGCUCUGGCAGCAGCUACAGGGACCAGCCGCAGCUGCCCAGGAGGUGGAUGGCACUGGCAGUAGUGUCCCCAGUGAUGGAUUACACCAGCAGCAGCGGCAUAGCACAAGCCUGACCAGAGUCAGCCGGACGUGCAGUCCUGAGCCCGUGGCACCACCUCCUGCUGUUU